ACAAUCUACUGCUUCAGUUAAA
This 22-nucleotide small nuclear RNA is filed under the name Arabidopsis thaliana (thale cress). Its description in RNAcentral is "snRNA_06384". Lineage: Eukaryota; Viridiplantae; Streptophyta; Magnoliopsida; Brassicales; Brassicaceae. The record is from RNAcentral.